AAGGGGUGCAUCUGACCAGUGACUGACAAAGGAUUUCCUUCUGGAAUGCAUGGGGUAUAAAUCCCCUUCCUGGUGGGCCAGCUGGUCUGGCCACUUCCAGUCCCUGCCACCCAACAUCUCUUGGCUCUGUUCAGACUGGCCAUCCAGAGGAGAGGGAAAAGACACUGUCCACUAGUUAACCCAAGCCUGAAGUACGCAAAUGAGAGAGAGGGAGAGAAGACCAAGCUUUUCCCCCUGCAUGUGAAGAAGCUGCAAGCUACAACUGAUCAUCAAUAAAGAUACUUAUGCUGUGUUAAAUGUAAGAAAUCUCUUCUUUGGUUCCUGCAUGAGGACUGCACAUGAUAUGAAAAAUUCUGAUACAGUCAGUUGGGCCAAGAGCAAGACCGUCCCCAUGGAUUUCUAGCCAUCUAUUUGAUGUGUCUCAGGCCUCAUCUACCAAGAUGAUUUAUGAAGACAAGAAAGAAGUCCUCUAGAUAGAAGACUGGAGAUGAUUUGAACAUCUACCAGCCCAAGGAAAUAAUAUUGCCAGUUUUGUAUUGACUUUAUUCCAAUCAACUGCCUCAAGACAGCCCUGAAGAACUUCAGUAAUUCAAAGCAGUAUUUUUAUUACUGAUCUCCAUUUGACAUAUGAAGACUUCUCAGGUUGAGUCAGGACUAAAAUCUGUUUCAGAUGCUCUACUGCAGCAAUUGUAAUUUAGAAUUCACCAGUUUAAAUAAUCUCACUUAGUCAAAUUAGUUCUGUAUUUCACUUUGCAAUGGACUUCUCUUUCAUUUCAAGCAAAUGACUACUCUGUGAGGACAAGAUUUUUACUGCUGUUACUCAGCCUGAGUAGUACCAUGCUCUUGUAUGUAGUCCUACUGAAGAAAAUAAGAUUUUAUUGUUUGUAUUCUACCUGGACAAUAGGAAGGGUCGGUACGAUCUUUGUAUAUCAGCUGAAUAAAAAAGCAGAUGCAACUCUAGAGAAGAACAUGGUCUGGCUCAGUAUUCAAACUCUUCAAAUAUUUGUAGACUGUUUAUUGUGUCCUAUGCUCCUUAGUUGUCUCGUUUCUUAAUAUCUUUCCCUGUAAAUUAAUGUCUUCGUUUCUGAAGUAAAUGGGAUGUUCUUCCGUGAACACUUCUUUACAACAUUUCAGCUGUGGUAACAUUAAAACUGGAAAAGGUGGUGUUAUGCCCUGCUCCAUAAUACAAUGUGUCUGUGGAAGAAGCCCAAAUUAACACUGAUCUUUUUGGUGUCAUAUUAUAUUGCAAGCUCAUACCUACUGUCAACCUAAAUCUCUUUAAAAAAAAUGAACAAAAUGCCUUAUCUAAAUUUCUUAGGCAAAGAUAAAGUGGUGACUAUAGUUUAAAGAAGGUUUGGUACCUUCCUGUUAGUCACUAAAUGAAACAUACAGGCAACCUAAUUCCCAGCAUACUCCUUAGUCAGUGUGUCAAAUCUAAUCCCUACCUUUUUGACACUGGAGGCCACAUUCUUCACUAUGCUCCACUUUCACUGUACACAGUUGAGAAAGGAGCUGCAAAGCAGCUAGUUGUUGGUCCCCACAGUCAGUGAACAUUUCUAAGCCUCUCCAGGCCCCAUUGUACUUUAUGGUGGCCUAGGGGCUGCUCCAGCAUUGACUAGUUAUGGUCCCUGAAGGGGCAUCUGCCAGCCUGGGUGCUGCUGAGUGCAGUGCUUGGUGUUAUGGUGCUUGUAAUGCCCACUGAGAGCAACAAGACAGUCUCUCCUGUGCUCUCGAUGCUCCCCCUACUGGUGCACAAGCUGCAAGAAGGGGAAAGAAGAUGCAUCCUGGCUGGAAUGGUGAUUAGUGAGGAGCUGAGACUUGUGGGGGAAAAGAUGAGAGGGAGACUGGCAAAUGGAGCUGAGGAAGUGGGAGCAGGAAAAGGAACAUGGAUUGGAGGUUUGUGGAGACUGAGAUGAGGAGUGCAGGGGAAGGAGUCAGACUACACAAACCUGAUCUAUCUCCAGGGUAUGUUCCAGCCUGUGCACUGAAUGAGGCAGGGGGCCUGUGGAAACAUAGUAUGUGAUCAUGUAAUUUCUGACUGUGGCAUUCUCAUGUGUUUGCAUUAUGAAAAUCUAAA
This is a long non-coding RNA of Mauremys reevesii (Reeves's turtle), 2077 nucleotides long. RefSeq lists it as uncharacterized. The transcript is spliced from 6 exons. Lineage: Eukaryota; Metazoa; Chordata; Testudines; Geoemydidae. The record is from RefSeq and is a predicted model, not a curated record.